Molecule: ribosomal RNA, 502 nt
Filed under: uncultured bacterium
Lineage: Bacteria
Description: partial 16S ribosomal RNA
Rfam family: Bacterial small subunit ribosomal RNA
Source: RNAcentral
GACGAACGCUGGCGGCGUGCCUAAUACAUGCCAGUCGAACGAACCGCGACUAGGUGCUUGCACUUGGUCAAGGUGAGUGGCGAACGGGUGAGUAACACGUGGGUAACCUACCUCAUAGUGGGGGAUAACAGUCGGAAACGACUGCUAAUACCGCAUAGGACAUAGGAUCACAUGAUUCUGUGAGGAAAGGUGGCGCAAGCUAUCGCUAAGAGAUGGACCCGCGGUGCAUUAGCUAGUUGGUAGGGUAAAGGCCUACCAAGGCGAUGAUGCAUAGCCGACCUGAGAGGGUGAUCGGCCACAUUGGGACUGAGACACGGCCCAAACUCCUACGGGAGGCAGCAGUAGGGAAUCUUCCGCAAUGGACGCAAGUCUGACGGAGCAACGCCGCGUGAGUGAAGAAGGUCUUCGGAUCGUAAAGCUCUGUUGUUAGAGAAGACCAGCGCAUAGAGUAACUGUUAUGCGUGUGACGGUAUCUAACCAGAAAGCCACGGCUAACUACGUG